This 254-nucleotide ribosomal RNA is filed under the name uncultured bacterium. RNAcentral describes it as "partial 16S ribosomal RNA". It matches the Rfam family "Bacterial small subunit ribosomal RNA", at positions 524 to 776 of the family's 1533-position model. The record is from RNAcentral.
UACGUAGGAGGCGAGCGUUGUCCGGAGUUACUGGGCGUAAAGGGUGCGCAGGCGGCGGUUCGCGUGGCGAGAUGAAAUCUCCUGGCUUACCUGGGAGGAUGGUCGCCAGACGGGAUCGCUUGAGGGUCGGAGAGGGGCGUGGAAUUCCGGGUGGAGCGGUGAAAUGCGUAGAGAUCCGGAGGAACACCGACGGCGUAGGCAGCGCCCUGGGCGACACCUGACGCUGAGGCACGAAAGCUGGGGGAGCGAACAGG